CUUUUUUUUUACUCGCCUCUUCUCUUUGUUUGACUCACAAGAAGCGCUGUCUUCCUAUAAGCAAAGGAAAAGAGGGUCAAAUACAAUUUUCAUGCUAGCACACAUUUUCGUCUUUCUACAUUGCCUGUUCAAAAGAAAAAAAAAUUAACCAUGCUAGUAUUUUCAACUCUGAUUAAAUUUCUUUUAGGAUUUUAUGUGAAUAAAUUCCCAAAUGUGAAGUAACAGUGCAUUAUAUUGUGCUGAAUCAUAUCACUAGGAGGCACCUUAAGAACUAGAGAAAGAAUAUAGAAAAUUUAGUGGGUAAGAAGUGGCUACUUGUCAGAUAUAGCCAAUUUUCCGUCUUAUCUCAUUAAGUUUUAUCUCUACCUAACAGAUCCCCAGACACUAAUAUUUAACAACAUAUUGGUAACUGCAAGUGUUAGUAUGUCAUCUUCUGGAUUCUUUUGCCAGUCCCAUAGUGCUGCGAAUCAUUCCCUAGCUUCCCCGCUUCCCUCUUUUGUUUUUGUACUGCAUCCCUCUACUGCUCUAGUCUCAUUUUGCACUUUGCCUGGUCUCCUGGUCUCACUGUUUCUAAAUAUUUCUUAUCCAUCUUGGUAUUCUUAAGACCCAGCACAGAAAAAUCAAUAAAUACCAUGGGAAGGAGCAAGCAGGGCUAGAAACACAAUGGAUGGUCACUAGAUAUUAAUCAUCUUUGAGUAAUUCUUCUAAUCAAACAUGCUCUGCAUCUAGUUAGGCAAGCCAGCUCCGAACACAGAGGCUCCAAGAACAGCAAAAGGUGCAUAUCCCUGGGGAGAGCCCAUGGCUGGAGUUAGUUCUCCAAGGUGUUCCUGCCCACACCUUUUCUAAUGAGUCCAGUUAGUUUAACUCAAUAGUGUGUGAACACGUAAGUAAGCUGCCAUUAUCCAACACCGCCUGGAAAAACAACCAUGCAUCUGGUCCCUCCCAUAUCCCUCAGCUGCAAACUUGAGAGUAGGAUAAACUUCUAGCUUUCUCUUACAGUGGCCAGGUGUUUGUGGGCAUAGGGUAAUACAGAUGGUCUCUUGAAAAAAAGUUUAGCGGCUAGUCUGAAGAAAAAUAACAAACCUUUGAUUGGGACUUAGCAUAUGAUACAACUGUUCUUCAUACUAUACAUACAAAAUCAAGUGUAGUAAGUAGCAUUACCAGUAUUUUAAAGAUGAGGCCAGGUGCGGUGGCUCACGCCUAUAAUCCCAGCACUUUGGGAGGCCAAGGCAGGCAGAUCACUUGAGGUCAGGAGUUCAAGACUAGCCUGGCCAACCCUAUCUCCGCUAAAAAUACAAAAAUUAGCUGGGCUUGUCCUGCACACUUGUAAUCCCAGCUACUCAGGAGGCUGAGGCAGGAGAAUCGCUUGAACCCAGGAGACAGAGGCUGCAGUGAGCCAAGACUGCGCCACUGCACUCCAGCUUGUGCUACAGAGCAAGACCCUGUCUCAAAAAAAAAAAAAAGAAAAGAAAAAAGAAAAACACUCAGGUGGGGCAGGAGUUUAACCUAAUCCAACUAGAUGGAACUAGAAAAAGAAUAUAGAAAAUUUAGGGGGAAGAGGUGGCUACUUGUCAGAUGUAGCCAAUUUCCUAGUGCUUUAAUAGAGUUAUGACUUCCAGAAACAGGCAGGGUAUGGUGGCUCACAUCUGUAAUCCCAGCACUUUAGGAGGCUGUGGUGGGCAGAUCACUUUGAGCUCAGGAGUUUGAGACCAACCUGGACAACAAUCCCCUCUCUCUACAAAAAAAUACAAAAAAAUUUAGCUGGGCAUGGUGGCUCAUGCCUGUAGUCCCAGCUACUCACGAGGCUGAGGCUGGAGGAUUGCUUGAGCCUGGGAACUGGAGGUUGCAGUGAGCCAAGAUCAUGACCCUGAAUGCCAGCCUGGGCACAGAGUGAGAUAGUGUCUCAAAAAAAUUAAUUAAAGACUUCCAAAGACAGCAAUACUUAUUUUUCUUUACCUUUUAUGUAUUAGAAGAGGAUUCCAAAUUUUCCAAAGUCCCUCCUAACACCAAAUAUGUAACUUGUUCUAUCAAACCAAGUCUUAAAAUACAACUUCAAAAGAAAAUAUGUGCUUGGCAUUCAACAGGCCUUCCAUAAGUGUUCACUGAAGGUUCCAAAUCUCCCAAUUCUAAAAGUUUCUGCAUUUGGAGAACAUUUUUCACCAAGAUUACUCGUUUCUUUAUCUUACAUCAUAGCCAAGAAAUAUAUUUCUCCCCAAUACAUGUUUUCUCCUAAACUCAAUAGAACUGUAUAUUAAGAUACUAAAUACAUGAAUCAUAAUGCUUAGGCACCAAAAGCAAUUCUAAAUGUAAAUGCAGUCUAUUACUACAACAAAAUUAGACAAAAAUCCUUGUGGGGAAAAUGUAUGUAUUUUUUUGCCCUGAAAGAACAGGUUUGUCGAACAGAUUAAAAUUCUACAUAUAAAACUGUUGAAAGAGUUUAUGGAUCUACAAAUUACUGCUGGGAUAUAUGGAAUUCUUAUUUUUCAAAAAGCCUAUGCACUCUGAGAAAUUCUAGACAGCAUAUGAAACUAUAAGAGAAUUCCACCUUCUUGCUUACCAGUACAGACUCUUCUUAACAGUGUCAAAACUAACCCUUCUCCCCCAAAAAAGUAGGGUAUAAACAAAGAGAAAGAAAGGGAAAUCACAAACUUUUAGAACUUCCCCAAGCUAAGAGUUGAACAUGGAUAAACUCACUGAAGUCCUCAUAUUGCUCCAUGGGCCACUCUAGGUACAUAAGCUAGGAUGUCAUAGGUCAGAGAGAAGCCCAGCAGAGACCACAUCAAAGUUCAACCUUGUUCCAGACCUUUGUAGGUAGAAAAUAAGGUUAAGUGAAACAUGGAAGGUAACCAUGGAAUAUUACCGGUUCCCGGUCAGUCACUCUUGAUUAGCAAACAUGGCCCAAAGCUGUAGAUCAAGGACUUCCUGAAUAAUACUGGUUCUGGAGACAGAAGCUAUGAGUUCAGUGCUACAUAACUCUCUCUCUGGACAGACAGCUCUGCCAAAGCUAUUACAUUAUAUUUAAGUAUAUGUAUUAAGUAUAUAUCUAAAUAUAUAUUAUACUUAAAAUAUUAGUUUAAAUUUAAUGUUUUAAGUACAAUAUAUAUACCAAAGAGCACAAAGAAAAAAAAAGGUACAGCUUGAUGAAUUUUUACAAAGUGAACACACCCCUGUGACCAUGACUGAGAUAAAGAGAUUAGACAUUACCAGUAUCCCAGAAGCCUCCAUUUGCCCCUUCCUAGGCACUACUGACUUGAUUUAUCUUACUGAUUUGUGGACUACAUGUAAUCACACGGUAUGUGUUCUUUCAUAUUGUUUCCUUUUAGUCAGCAUAGUGUUUGUGAAAUUCAUUCGUGGUGAUGUGUAGAGUAGCAAUUCACACAUUUUCAUUGCUAUAUAAUAUUCCAUUGUAUGAAUAUAGCAAAAUGUAUUGAUUCUUACUGUUGAGGGAAUUUUUAGAUGAUUCUAGUUUGAGAGAUAUAUGUAAUAAUGCUGACAAGAACAUUAUAUAUUUUUGGUGUCCAUCUGUGUACACAAAGAAACAUGUACUAAUUCCACUAGGAAUUAAUUUUCCAAAGUGGUAGCCAAUUUACACUGCCACCACUGGUGUAUAAAAUCUCCAGUUGUUCCACAUCCUCACCAGCAUUUGGUAACGUCUGUUUCAAUUUUUGCCAUUCUGAUGGGUAUAUAUUGGUAUCUUGUUUGGGUUUUAAUUUACAUUUCUGAUAACCAGUGAUUUUGAGCACAAUUUCAUGUUUAUUGGCCACUUGGAUAUCUUCUUUUGUGAAAUGCCUACACAAGUCUUGCCCAGUUUUUUUACUGGACUGUCUUUUUCACGUUGAUUUAUAUAUUCUAGAUACAACUUCUUUUUCAGAUAGGAGAGAAGAAAGAAAAGCAGAGAGAAAGAAAGGAAAUAUGUUUUUCUACACUUUGGCUUGCCUUUUCAAGUCUGUUCAUAUAAUCUUUGAUGAACUGAAGUCUUAUUUUAAUGAAGUCCAGUCUACACAUUUUUUUCCUACCCCAAGGUCAUGAAGAUAUCCUACGUUAUAUUUUAUCAUCUCAACUUCCAAUUUAAGACAUAUCUUGAAAUAUAUGUUUGAACUUAUAGUGUAACAUUUUAACAAAAUUCUUACCAAUUUUUAAGUUUUCAUAAGUAAAUUAACCCUAAAAUUAAUUUACUAAAUUAAUUUACUAAAAUUAAAAAGCUAUCAUCAAAAGUUUUCAAAGAAAAAUUUUCAAAAUAAAUGUUCUUAAAAGCACAGAAAGAGGGAAUGUGAGGGGUUUAUAAUAGCAGUAACAAGUGGUGUUAAAAGCAUAGACUUGGGGCUAGACAGGUUGAAAUCAUGGCUAGCCAUCUAACAAGCUUUGUAACUUUAUAAAUUGUUUAUUUUAUCUGAGAGUUGAUUUCUUCAUUUAUAAAAUGAAGAUGGUAUCUGCUGAAUAUAAAGUCUUAACACUAAGCCCAACAUACUCAAAACCUGUUGUUAAUGAUGACUAAGAUGAUGUUAUUAACAUAAGUUAAGUGAUCUUAUAAAACUUAGAUUUUCAGUACUGCGGGUAAAGUAAGUGCCCAAUCAUGCUGUGAUACAGAUGACGAGAAGCCCUCAGACCAGUACAAGGUGCUUGAUAGAAGGAGAGAUCACGUGUGACCAGGGAGACUAGGAAAGGGGUGAUAAAUGAGAUGGCUCCUAGGGGAUUUUACAGAGUCAACAGGCAGUUUUCAAGGUAUAUGGACAAAUUGAACAAAGGCUUAAUGAUGGGAAAGCAUAGGGUAGCUUAAGAAAAAAUAAGCUAUUAAUAUAUAUAUAGGAGAACAGACAAAAAUAAAGUUGGUGAGGUAGGUUAAGGCUGAAUGUCAAACUGAAGAAUCAGUACUUAUUCAGGUAAGGAAGAUUUUCAAUCCAAGGAGUGACAAGAAAAUCAAGCUGACCACUGUGAGUCAAAUGGAUUUGGAUAGGGAAGGAGUAAAUACCAAAAUUCUAUCACAGUAGUUCAGAUAGAAAGAUAUAGAAACCUAAACUAGGGAAGCAGUGAAAGUAGAGAACAUGUUCCUACCUACAGGAUGGACUCGCUUUUUGUAUGAUCUAAAGGAGAAAACAUGGCUAAUCAUUAAGAGUCCAAGACUGGGUAGUUGAGAAAAUAGUGAUGCCAUUAAUUUAAAUGCAGAGAUAGGGGAGAGAAUCUGGUCUUGAUAUUGAGCUUGGUUCUGGACAUUUUUUUUUAAUUCAAGCACCACCAGGAAUUUCGGGUGGAAAUGUCCAGUUGACGAGCAGUGGGAAAUACAGGUGGGGAUCCCUAGUGGGGACACAGUACUUAAGUAUGGAUUUGAUAGUCAUUUCCACAGAAGUAUUAGAAAAAUAUAAUGUGGAGACAGAGAUUCUGAGUUUGCUCCUGCCUUACACUAGCUGUAUGCUCUAACAAGACUCUCAACUUCUCUGAGCCUCUGCCCUCUCAUUUAUAACAUGGGAUCAAAAAUAUAUAUAUCAUUCUACCUCCUCAUAGGGUUGAUGCAGACUAAAAUGAGAUAAUAUCUGAGAAAGUGCUAUAAAAACAGCUGUUAUCAAAAAACCAUUUAAGUGCUUUAUAUAUGUCAAACUAUCCUAGGAAACUAUUCGAAUAAUUUUUUUUCUCAGUAAAAAUUAUACUAUUGCAGAUUAUGUUGGGGGCCGAGGAUCUUAAGGUACAGUAGUAUGCAAUCAUAGGUCCUGACCAGAAGGUGGCAGGAGAAAGACUUAGUCAGAGCUUCUUGAGGAUUCCGUAUUUAUAAUCCUGAACGAAAAGUUCAUUUUACUUAUACAUUACAUAUAAUUAGACUCCCAGAUAAAUUCUUCCUAUCCUUAGCUGCAUGUGGCUCUACACAUUUAUUUAUCCACUGACCAUGUCAACUCAUCUGUAAUAUAGAAAAUGGAAAAAAAGAAAGGGAGUAAAUAAUACAAUGACUACUACUAUAUAGUGAAUACCUCUGCGUGCUAGAAACCAAAUUCAGGAUUUCUACACAAUAUUCCAUUUAACAUCAAUACAAUUCCAUGAGGUAGGUAUUAUUAUUCCUCAUUUUAAAGAUGAGGAAAUUGAGAUUCAAGCUUUUGCAAGUGAAAAUAAGCAGUGCCAGAGUUGCAGCUGCCAUGAAAGCUCAGUGACAUUUGCUUAUUUACAAAAAUUAGGUAUAACCUAAAGCAAGAAUGCAAAAAAAAAUGAACUCUGAGCACAGGGACCUUGAGACAGCUCUCCUGAAAGCCUACACAUUGUUGGUAGAGUGAAGUUUUAGGGAAGCAAAACUGUGAAGUAUGAAACCAGAUCCAACCUGAGAACAGAUGCUUCUGAGUAAGCAAAGAGAAUUUCUAAAUAGCUAAAAGACAGAAACAUUCCUAAAGUAGACAGUUUGGAAUGGCUCAAAAGAAAAUGUGCAGCUUGCGUGACCACCCCAAAAGAUUGUCCCACCUAGGCAGCUGAAGAACAACAACUUAGCCUUGGCAACAAAGCAAGAUCCCGUCCUUACAAAACAAACAAACAAACAAACAAAAAAACUAAUUGGCCAGGUGUGUUGGUGCAUGCCUACAGUCCCAGCUACUUGGGAGGCUGAGGCAAGAGGAUCACUUGAACCUAGGGAGUUCGAGGCUACAGUGCCCUAUGAUGGCACCACUGCAUUGAAGUAUGGGUGACAAGAGCAACACCCUGUCCAAAAAAAGAAAAAACGAAGAACAACAACUUACAACUUACCUUUCUACUUUUGAGGAGACUGGGAGUCACAGAGUCCCUGCCACAAGGUGGAGGGGUAACAGAUUUGAUUGGAAGCAGUGAGUUAUAAAUGGUGCUGUGUCCUCUAGCCCUCUAACCAACACAUGACUGUACAGCUGGCCUCUCUGAUACUAAAUUUUCCCCAUGUGCUAAAGAUCGUACAAGAAGAGGGUUGCAAAAUGAAGAGAAUAGAUUAAUUAUUAUAGUUAAUUAUAUUUCUUGGAAAAUCAACCACUGGUGAGACACCAAAACCCAGAGAAACUGA
Molecule: long non-coding RNA, 6997 nt
Filed under: Homo sapiens (human)
Lineage: Eukaryota; Metazoa; Chordata; Mammalia; Primates; Hominidae
Description: HSALNT0179186
Source: RNAcentral